This 431-nucleotide ribosomal RNA is filed under the name uncultured bacterium. RNAcentral's name for it is "partial 16S ribosomal RNA". It matches the Rfam family "Bacterial small subunit ribosomal RNA", at positions 338 to 795 of the family's 1533-position model. The record is from RNAcentral.
CCUACGGGGGGCUGCAGUCGAGGAUCUUCGGCAAUGGGCGAAAGCCUGACCGAGCGACGCCGCGUGCGGGAUGAAGGCCUUCGGGUUGUAAACCGCUGUCAGUGAGGAGGCCUAUUCGCAGAGGAAGGGUGGGCUAAGCUCGUGCCAGCAGCCGCGGUAAGACGAGCCACCCAAACGUUAUUCGGAAUUACUGGGCUUAAAGGGUGCGUAGGCGGUGCGGAAAGUAGGGUGUGAAAUCCCUCGGCUCAACCGAGGAACAGCGCUCUAAACUACCGUGCUUGAGGGAGAUAGAGGUAAGCGGAACUUCGGGUGGAACGGUGAAAUGUGUUGAUAUCCGAAGGAACACCGGUGGCGAAAGCGGCUUACUGGAUCUUUCUGACGCUGAGGCACGAAAGCUAGGGUAGCAAACGGGAUUAGAUACCCUUGUAGUC